GUGCAAUGGUUAGACCAGGGACCUGGGCAUCCAAACCCUGGAGUAAAACAGCAUGUUUGCUUCUUUGAUAAACUUUGGUGUUUAAAUUGCCUACCGUAUCUACACCACGCAAACAGGAUUGUGUUUCUGGAAACCUAAAUUAAAAGAUCCAAUAUAAAUUAGAAGCAAUUGUAUAGUUCUUUAAUGGAUAUUCCUACGUGAGUUGCUGACCUCUGUGGUACUCAAAAGCUUGAGUAUAAGAAAUCUACAAAUCAAUAAGGAAAAUAACCUGGAAUGGAGGAUGGGUCUCAUUACAGCGCUAAGUGUCGAUACAGUAGAUGUCUUAAUGCUAGUUAAUGACUGUCCCUAAUGGUAUUCAAACAAUGUACAUUUGCUUUAGCUUUUUUCAAAGUCCAGAUAAGCUGCUCUGAGCUCUCUUAAUGAUGCGAAUUAUUUAACGCUCAUUUGUAUGCAGUAUGCUCCUGCUUUGAAAGUACUUCACAGAAUUCAAGCCAAAUUCAGCCUUGCAGCUCCACUGAAGUCACUGCUUGUCUGUGCAUCUGCUGGUAGUUUUUGCUUGAAGAGUUAACUUCUUGUUGCACUGAUUUUAUUUUAUUUUUAAAGGUAGUAUCUGCAAAGGGUUUUUAGUCACCUUUCUCCCCUCCCUGGUAGAGUAGCUGUAAGUACAAAUGCUGUUCUGUUGAUUCUCUCAUCUCCCUCUUAAGCCCUGCAGAAUGAGGACAUGCUAAGCAGAAAAUACUUUUCUGUAUUCUUUCCUUUCCACUACUUUGCGCUUCCUAAGCACAGUUCUGCUGAUAUAUGGCACUUCUAAAAAAUCAUCCUGCGAAGAAUCUCUGCCUGCCAUCAGAUGUAUGCAAGAAGCCGAGUUCCUGUCUGUGGCCCAUUUUUGGGUUAACACAACGUGAACUGGUGGAGGCCAAGUCACGUACAAUUCUGCAGAGCACUCAAAAGCAUUUGCAAGGAGAAUCCCAAACUGCUGUUAGGACGCAGACUUGUGCUGGGUUCUAAUAAUACCUUGCAGGUAAUUGUUAUUGGGUACUGGCUUUGAUACAUUGGUAUGAUAUUGGAAAGAAACAAUCACCGAGAGGCAGGGCUGCAGAAAUUGGAUACCCAUGAUUGUUUUGGUGGUGCCUCACUGAAAACGGCAUGAAAUGAGCAUGGACUGAUCAAAAGUCCAUGAAAAAAAAAGUCCAAGAAAAGUCCAUGAAAAAAGUCCAAGGAAAGACGCCUGGACAGGUGAAGGGAGGUAAUCCAGCAGUGCCAGGCCACACAGCAGAGAAGGGAAUGACCUGCUGCAGGAGCCUAGGAGGGUGUUGUCAUGGGUAUGAGUAGUGGAAGAGGAACCAAGAAGGAAACAGGACGUGUUCAGAAUGACUGCAGAAUGCUGCUGCAACAAGCACUGAGAAAAUGCUGGAAUAUGGGGCAAUGGUCCCAUCUUGCUUAUCCAGCUCUCGAAGGGUUUUUCUCGUGUAUCCAGGUAGCAGGCCUGGAAGGGGGAGUCCUGUUUAUUUCCAUUAUUUAGGUAUACAUUUCUCCAAAUUGAGAUUUGAUAAGAGGACAGCUGCUGCAUUUUUAUUAUUUGAGACAAGCGGCAGUAAAAGCUGUUCAGAGUUCACGAUGGAAAUGUAUCCGCAUAUUGGCAUUUAUCCAGCUGCACUUCACAAAGGUAAAUGGGACGUGAGAGUGGUAUGCUGCCCCCUUUUAAUCCAUUUUCUAUAGAAGGGGGUACUUUGCUUCUCUGCGGGAAAGGCCAGCACAGCUACUGUGCUAAUAAAUGCUCGUUUCUCACUGCAGCAUAUGGGCUUCCCAGACUCAUAAAUCCAAGCAAUUUGUAGUUGAAUUACAAUUAAAUAUCCACACACAUUUCCAUACCGUGGUCUGGUGCACAAGGCAUAGGCCUAAGUGGCUGGACAUCUGCUGUCUGCUCUCCCAUACGUAGUGUUUGGCAGAGCAUAAUUGCUUAAUCUUACCCUACCUCCAUUAACAGUACCUGUAAAAUUGGAUGUAGAGCAUCAUCCUACAGAUGUUUUGGCAUAUUCUUCAAGAAGAUCAGCGUCUUCUUUCUAGCUCUUUUUUCUUCCCCCCCUUUUCUUUUUUCUUUUUUUUUUUUUAAGCAUCCCUUAUUGUCAAAUAAUCAAAAAUACUUUUCAAUGCUGUUGAUCUUUCAGUCAAAGGAUUUCCAGGGCAGGGGUUCAGUUUGGCUCUGUUAAUGACGGUGGGAAAUGAGACAUCGCAUUAAAAAGCUGGUCGAGAUGCAGGACACUCAGAGAUCCUCUCAGCAAUUUUGUGUCAUUUGUACAAGACCCAGAGACUCAGUAAUGCAAUAAGAUAAAUGUGGUGCUUGAUUACAAUGGAUGUAUUGCACUUAAAAAGGCAUUUUAUUGUUAGGCUCUGCAUAUCUAAAGUAAUAACCACUGUAUGUCAGGCAAGACAAUAGUAAAGUAAGCCAGAUAAUUUUCCCAUUGUUAAAACUUUCAAAAUCCAAAAAGCUAUAAAUGUCUUAAUUACAUUCAAUUUAGCUAGAUCUAGUGCUGGUGGCUGGAGGGAACAUCUUUCUGAGGUUCAGUCUUUCCUCUGGUCUAACUGAUAACACUUAAAACUCUGUCACUUACACUGUUACAGCUAUUUAAAGAAGAAUUAUAUGUACUCAUUACCCAUCUAGAGUUUCCACGCAGCAGGGUUACUAUAUAAAACUGCAGUUUAGUUGUUUUCAUUUGUCCCAGAAAGCUUGAACAAAGAUACACAGUUUGCCCUGAGCUCAACCAGCAUCCUUCAGUGCUGAAGCUCUCUGAGGCACAAGGGCUGUCUUCUGCACUGUUGUACAGUUACCUAACAAAAUGCUCAUUCCCUGUGGAUUUGGUAGAAACUUUGAAUUAUGCCCCCCUUGACUCCAGCUCCAUGUGCCUGUCCGCUUCAGAUUAAGUUCUAGCUACGAUCACAAGAACAUCCUAAAUCAGUCUCAGUAGUUUGUAUUUCCUUGCCAAAGAUCUUAUCUGCUGUGGGUGCAAGUUGCACCAUAAAGAGUGCUGGUGUUGAAAAUUUUUCACCCUUCUGUUUCACAACUCUACCUUUUUAGGCUAGGUUAAUUUAUCUGGAAGAACUGAGGCAAAGCUUUCAGGUGAGAAGGGCCAUGCAGCAAUACAGCACUGCUCUGCGCAUCUGCACAAUUUGUAUAUUUGAUUAGGUUCCUCAGCACUUGCAGAUUAUUGUUGGUAGAAGCAAAUCCUACUUUUGCCAUUUUUUUUAUAAGGCUCUUUGCUGCAUCUCUGUGAAUGUUCAUUCUCUUAUGUUCUUUACAAAAAUGACAAAUGCUGAUAGUAAAAAUUACAUUUGCUCAUUAAAA
Anas platyrhynchos (mallard) is the source of this 3343-nucleotide non-coding RNA. The record is from RefSeq and is a predicted model, not a curated record. NCBI's taxonomy places the organism in Eukaryota, Metazoa, Chordata, Aves, Anseriformes, Anatidae.